UAAGUGCUGUGAGCCACAAGUAACAUCAAGAAAAGACAGGGAUGAAGAACCGCACUUACAAGCUAAGGUGUAAGCUCAUCCUACACAUGUCAUUUGGACCAGACCAAGGCUGCUGUCAUGGAGGACCCACACCACAGCUUGGGAACCAUUCAUCUACCAGAGGGUCACAUGACUUCAAAUGACUCUUCUAGGGGCCACCUGCCAUGAUAGGGUACCAGCUCUUCCUCUGAAUUCCCAAUCCAUUUCUUGAGAACUACUGUUUCUAAUAAGGAGGGGAAGAAGGUCAUGUGGGAAUCAGUUAAAUCACGUGUGGAUAGAAGACAAGUUCCAGCUUUGUGGGAAAUCCUGUAGCCUUCGCCAGGUACACCCUGACAAUCUCAGAACUGAUCAGGAGUUUUUGUUCCAUGUGAGAUACCCACGCCACUUUAAAAAACAAACUAUCCUGACAUCUAAUUACUUUGUGAAUGAUUGUAAUGGCAAUAACAAUAGAGAUGGAAGAAUUUUGGAAACAA
Molecule: long non-coding RNA, 512 nt
Filed under: Homo sapiens (human)
Lineage: Eukaryota; Metazoa; Chordata; Mammalia; Primates; Hominidae
Description: non-protein coding LINC01614:5
Source: RNAcentral